This 253-nucleotide ribosomal RNA is filed under the name uncultured bacterium. RNAcentral describes it as "partial 16S ribosomal RNA". It matches the Rfam family "Bacterial small subunit ribosomal RNA", at positions 524 to 776 of the family's 1533-position model. The record is from RNAcentral.
UACGAAGGGGGCUAGCGUUGUUCGGAUUUACUGGGAGUAAAGCGCACGUAGGCGGAUCGUUAAGUCGGGGGUGAAAUCCUGGAGCUCAACUCCAGAACUGCCUUCGAUACUGGCGAUCUUGAGUCCGGAAGAGGUGAGUGGAACUCCUAGUGUAGAGGUGGAAUUCGUAGAUAUUAGGAAGAACACCAAUGGCGAAGGCGGCUCACUGGUCCGGUACUGACGCUGAGGUGCGAAAGCGUGGGGAGCAAACAGG